This is an RNA transcript of Eubalaena glacialis (North Atlantic right whale), 2801 nucleotides long. It is a transcript of the gene named ER membrane associated RNA degradation, with no coding region annotated. The record is from RefSeq and is a predicted model, not a curated record. The transcript has 19 exons. NCBI's taxonomy places the organism in Eukaryota, Metazoa, Chordata, Mammalia, Artiodactyla, Balaenidae.
CUCGGCGCCGCGGCCGGGAGCCGUAAGUCAUGGAGAUAUUAAUAGAGGAUCCUAUUACCACGUGUCUUUCUCCUUCAGUGUAUGAUAUGAUUUGUAAACUCGGGUUUGAAGCCAGAGAAAAUUGCGAUAUCAGUAGUAUUGUAACUCAAAAUGGUGAAGUAUGCUGGACGACAAUUACAGACUGUGUGGUUUAUACAGAAUCAGCCCAGGGUCUGGAUUACGGGGGAAGCGUGAGGCUGCUGGGCCCUGUGUGCCAGGCUGUCCACUUACAUUUGUCGUCUCUGACCAAGGGGCAGUUUGAAACGCGAUAUUCACCGGGGCUCCAGUGGACAGGUGUUCCAGAGUUAUUUCCUGAAAUGUUUGAUGCCUUGGGAAGUCUUCAAUCUCUUGCUAUUUCUCUUAGCUUAAUGAAGCUGACAUCAUGUCUGGAGCGAGCCCUGGCUGACGUGUAUUUACUGAUUGGGAAGGAAUGCCCCUUUCUUUUAAGAGAUCUGAUUGCAUCUGAGGAGCUCGCUCAAGUCUUUGGGCAGUCUGUGAUGGACGUGCUCAAGGUCUUCGUGGGCUCUCCGUGCGGACUCAACCUUCGCAACGUCCUGUGGCACGGCUUUGCGGCACCUCAGGAGAUUCCUCCAAAAUACUGUUCAAUGAUGAUAUUGUUGACAGCAGGAUUGGGUCAACUACUAAAGGGUUACCUUCAACAAACUAAGUUCACAUUGGCACAUCGACCUUUCAUAACUCUUACGAGCUUAGAGGAUUUGAUCGUUUUCCCUGAUGUUACUUAUGAGGUACUUUCAGUAUUAGAAGAAGUGAUGAAGAAAUCCACUUUUAUACUAAAAAUCAUGUUGCCAUAUUGGGAAGUUGCAUUAAUCAACUUCAAGUCAAACAGGUACCUGAAGUGUGGCAUUACAAAGUGGUCAUUGGCAGCUUGGAGGCCAGGCCUUCUUAAAACCCUAACCUUCCUGCUUUGUCGCUGUUGGACUUGGAGCAGGUUUGCUGACUGUGCCAUCUUGUUAUUGGUGCAACUAGAGACUGGACUUAGGAAAGUUUUUGCCACAGUUAACAAAUGUCCAAAGAGACUUCUGACUGCUGAGUCAACAGCUCUUUAUACUACCUUUGAUGAGAUAUUGGCAAAACACUUGAAUGAUGGUAAAAUCAAUCAACUUCCUCUUUUCCUUGGAGAGCCUGCAAUGGAAUUUCUCUGGGAUUUCCUGAACCAUCAGGAAGGUCCCCGUCUAAGAGAUCGUUUAAGCCAUGGGGAAAUCAGUUUACCUGAAUUUCCGAAAGAAGCAGCCAAUCAGUUGCUUGCGUUUUCCUUUGUACUUUUACUCAGAUUUAUUGAUGAAGAUCUAUUAUCAGUGUUUAAGCAGGAAAAAGCAGCAGUGAGAGCACUGGUGAGUGUUGCAGAAGCCUACAGCGCUCGCUGCCAUCCCGUUUCUCAGCUUAAAAAGCAGGUGCUGAGCUGUGAGAGGAGCAUCGGAGUUUGGCCUCUGCUGCCUUUGCCUGAAGGAUCCGAAAGGGAGGCUCAGCGAUCAGAAGGUAAUUCUGAAAUAAAUGCCUGCCACUCUUUAAUCACAGAAAUCAUGGCUGAGCUGUGUCGCCAUGUGCCCGGGGCCCACCGCGUUCCUCACGACUGGGAGCACCUUCCUCCUGAGAAGUGGCCCCAGCUGCUCCGUGAGCUCUGCAGCAUCCCUGUCCGGACCCUCUUCUGCCCCAGAGCCGUCCUGGAGGUGCUGGCCGUGCUCCGGAAGAUCGGCGCCCACUGCCGCCGUGUGUGUGGCCAGGUGGCCGCCUGCGCGGAGCUGAGGCGCCGGCAGUGGGAGGACAGGAGCCUGCGCUCCCGGCAGCGGCGGAACUACCUGCGCCUGGUUCACAGUAUUAAGCUUCUGUCUCCUAUGCUUUACCUGAUUUUAUUGCUGAUUGCGCUGGAAUUGGUCAACAUUCAUGUGGUUCUUGGGAAAAAUACUUCAGAAUAUCAGCAGUAUCUAAGGUUCUUAAAGUCCAUCUUGCAGUACACAGAGAACCUGGCGGCUUACACCAGCCAAGACAAGAACAAGUGGGAUGAAGCUGUCAAUCUCACACAGGCGGCCUUGUUGAAAAUUUGGACUUUUAGUGGGAAGAAACAAAUGUUAAUACAUUUAGCCAAGAAAUCCACGAGUAAAGUAGUCUAAUAAGUCAGGAUGCUUUGGGAUCUAUCAGAAAACCCGACCUGAGUAGACUUCACAGCAUGUGGUGUCAGUGGAUUUUGCAGAAAUAAACAACUCGUACUUGGGGCAGCCGGCCGUGGGAAGCUCUCCUGAAGCCUGUGGGCACACGGCGAGGAGGCGUGGGCAUGAGAGCCUUUUGUCUCUGACCUGGGCCUUGGAACGUGCGCAGCCUGGUCCUGCGAGGGCGUCUGCGGUUUCAGAAGGAGAUGCUCCAGCAGGCGCCGACCCGAUGCCGCGGCGGCUCAGACGACACCUCCCACCGUCUCGGUCACGAGGAAACUAGGAGCCUCGGGGGAGCCGGGCUUCUAGCCGGUACACGGGUCCGGAGGGCAGCUAGGAGAGUUACUGUCAUGGUUGUGUCCCAGAACCCUUGGGUCUGUGCUGUGGGCCUGUUCGUGGCUCAGCCCCAGCCCCGCACAGGCCGCGCCCGCUCAGCAAGAGCCUCCGCGAAGGCUCAACACCCACACCCCAGACGCCGGUGCUGGCAACUCAGAGGCACGUUCGGCCGUCACUUCGCCGUCAGUUUUCCGUCCAUCCUGCCCCAAGACGAUCUCCUGUCCUGCCCAGGACUCUCGCCGGUCUUGGUCUGGGCUUCGA